GGGGAUUUAGCUCAGUGGUAGAGCGCUUGCCUAGAAAGUGCAAGGCCCUGAGUCAGUCCUCA
This is a non-coding RNA of Rattus norvegicus (Norway rat), 62 nucleotides long. Lineage: Eukaryota; Metazoa; Chordata; Mammalia; Rodentia; Muridae. The record is from Rfam.